This 484-nucleotide ribosomal RNA is filed under the name uncultured bacterium. RNAcentral's name for it is "partial 16S ribosomal RNA". It matches the Rfam family "Bacterial small subunit ribosomal RNA", at positions 30 to 507 of the family's 1533-position model. The record is from RNAcentral.
AUUGAACGCUGGCGGCAGGCCUAACACAUGCAAGUCGAGCGGAUGAGGGGAGCUUGCUCCCUGAUUUAGCGGCGGACGGGUGAGUAAUGCCUAGGAAUCUGCCUGGUAGUGGGGGAUAACGUUCCGAAAGGAACGCUAAUACCGCAUACGACCUACGGGAGAAAGCAGGGGACCUUCGGGCCUUGCGCUAUCAGAUGAGCCUAGGUCGGAUUAGCUAGUUGGUGAGGUAAUGGCUCACCAAGGCGACGAUCCGUAACUGGUCUGAGAGGAUGAUCAGUCACACUGGAACUGAGACACGGUCCAGACUCCUACGGGAGGCAGCAGUGGGGAAUAUUGGACAAUGGGCGAAAGCCUGAUCCAGCCAUGCCGCGUGUGUGAAGAAGGUCUUCGGAUUGUAAAGCACUUUAAGUUGGGAGGAAGGGCUGCUGGUUAAUACCCUGCAGUUUUGACGUUACCAACAGAAUAAGCACCGGCUAACUUCGUG